Molecule: ribosomal RNA, 463 nt
Filed under: uncultured bacterium
Lineage: Bacteria
Description: partial 16S ribosomal RNA
Rfam family: Bacterial small subunit ribosomal RNA
Source: RNAcentral
GACGAACGCUGGCGGCGUGCUUAACACAUGCAAGUCGAACGGAAAGGCCUUUUCGGCGGUACUCGAGUGGCGAACGGGUGAGUAACACGUGGGUGAUCUGCCCUGCACUCUGGGAUAAGCCUGGGAAACUGGGUCUAAUACCGGAUAGGACCGCACUUUAGUGUGUGUGGUGGAAAGUUUUUUCGGUGUAGGAUGAGCCCGCGGCCUAUCAGCUUGUUGGUGGGGUAAUGGCCUACCAAGGCGGCGACGGGUAGCCGGACUGAGAGGUUGGUCGGCCACAUUGGGACUGAGAUACGGCCCAGACUCCGACGGGAGGCAGAAGUGGGGAAUAUUGCACAAUGGGCGCAAGCCUGAUGCAGCGACGCCGCGUGGGGGAUGACGGCCUUCGGGUUGUAAACUCCUUUCGCCAGGGACGAAGCGUUUUGUGACGGUACCUGGAGAAGAAGCACCGGCUAACUACGUG